RNAcentral lists this ribosomal RNA (587 nucleotides) under uncultured bacterium. Its description in RNAcentral is "bacterial SSU rRNA". It matches the Rfam family "Bacterial small subunit ribosomal RNA", at positions 94 to 697 of the family's 1533-position model. The record is from RNAcentral.
AGCGGCGGACGGGUGAGUAACGCGUGGGCAACCUGCCCCAUACAAAGGGAUAGCCACUGGAAACGGUGAUUAAUACCUUAUAAGUCGGUAGUCUCGCAUGAGACAGCCGACAAAGAUUUAUCGGUAUGGGAUGGGCCCGCGUUUGAUUAGCUAGUUGGUGAGGUAACGGCUCACCAAGGCGACGAUCAAUAGCCGACCUGAGAGGGUGAUCGGCCACACUGGAACUGAGACACGGUCCAGACUCCUACGGGAGGCAGCAGUGGGGAAUAUUGCACAAUGGGCGCAAGCCUGAUGCAGCAACGCCGCGUGAGUGAUGAAGGCCUUCGGGUCGUAAAACUCUGUCCUAUGGGAAGAAAAAAAUGACGGUACCAUAGGAGGAAGCCCCGGCUAACUACGUGCCAGCAGCCGCGGUAAUACGUAGGGGGCAAGCGUUAUCCGGAAUCACUGGGCGUAAAGGGUGCGUAGGUGGCUGAUCAAGCCAGGGGUGAAAGGCAUUGGCUCAACCAAUGUAAGCCUUUGGAACUGAUCGGCUUGAGUGCAGGAGAGGUAAGUGGAAUUCCUAGUGUAGAGGUGAAAUUCGUAGAUAU